This 312-nucleotide long non-coding RNA is filed under the name Equus caballus (horse). RNAcentral's name for it is "lncRNA (ENSECAG00000046643.1)". Lineage: Eukaryota; Metazoa; Chordata; Mammalia; Perissodactyla; Equidae. The record is from RNAcentral.
CAGAAGUCUCCUCAUUAACAUAAACCCCGCUGUGAUGGACCAGAUGUCAAGUGGAGCCUUUUUCAGUAGUGAAAUAUGCACCGAGGGAAGACACAGGGAGAUUUGACAGCAAAGAGAAGAGAAGGAAACAUGAAGACGGAGCAGAGAGAUUUGAAGAUGCUGCCUUUGAAGACUGAAGUGAAGCCAAAGAAUGCUGGCAACCACCUGACGCUGAAAAAGGCAUGGAAUGAAUUCUCCCCAUAGGCCUCUCAAAAGAUGGAGGUUGUGCUGAUGCCUUGAUUUCACUCCUGUGAUACUGAUUUUGGACUCUGG